This 661-nucleotide ribosomal RNA is filed under the name uncultured bacterium. Its description in RNAcentral is "bacterial SSU rRNA". It matches the Rfam family "Bacterial small subunit ribosomal RNA", at positions 8 to 662 of the family's 1533-position model. The record is from RNAcentral.
AGAGUUUGAUCAUGGCUCAGAUUGAACGCUGGCGGCAUGCUUAAUACAUGCAAGUCGAACGGUAACAGGUCCUUCGGGAUGCUGACGAGUGGCGGACGGGUGAGUAAUGCAUAGGAAUCUGCCCAGUAGUAGGGGACAACCUGAGGAAACUCAGGCUAAUACCGUAUAAGUCCUACGGGAGAAAGGGGGCCUCUUCUUGAAAGCUCUCGCUAUUGGAUGAGCCUAUGUCGGAUUAGCUUGUUGGUGGGGUAACGGCCUACCAAGGCGACGAUCCGUAGCUGGUCUGAGAGGACGAUCAGCCACACUGGGACUGAGACACGGCCCAGACUCCUACGGGAGGCAGCAGUAGGGAAUAUUGGACAAUGGGCGAAAGCCUGAUCCAGCAAUGCCGCGUGUGUGAAGAAGGCCUGCGGGUUGUAAAGCACCUUCAGUUGGGAAGAAAAUCUUUAGGUUAAUAUCCUAAAGUCUUGACGUUACCAACAGAAGAAGCACCGGCUAACUCUGUGCCAGCAGCCGCGGUAAUACAGAGGGUGCGAGCGUUAAUCGGAAUUACUGGGCGUAAAGCGUGCGUAGGCGGUUAAGUCAGUCGGAUGUGAAAGCCCAAGGCUUAACCUUGGAACGGCAUUCGAUACUGCUUAGCUAGAGUACAGUAGAGGGAAGC